AACCUGGUUGAUCCUGCCAGUAUCUCAUCUCUUAGUUAAAAGAUUAAUCCAUGCAUGUGUUUGGCACGGUUAUAGUGCCUGCAUACGGCUCAUUAAAACAGAGAUAACCUACCCUCCCAUACAGUCGCAUAACUUUGCUAAUUGUGAGGCUAAUACGUGAUAAUACGUUGCUAUGCAUCACCCUAACUGUAGAAUUGCAAAUACAAGGAAUAUGAUUAGGCGUUUAGACAUGUUCUAAGGAGGAAGGGUCUCUGAUCUAUCAGCUACAGACGGUUAUGUAUUGGAUAACCGUGGCCUUGACGGAUAACGGGGAAUUAGGGUUUGGUUCCGGAGAGGGAGCAUGAGAAAUUGCGCUUACAGCUAAGGUUGGCAGCAGGAGCGAAAACUUUUCUAAUGAGCAACGCUUGAAAAGGUGACGAACUGUAUCAACGUCAGCACUAGUUGAUGAUUGAAAUGAGGUGGAUAUAGAUGAUUCACCGAGUAGCUAGUUCAGGGCAAGUCUGGUGCCAGCAGCCGCGGUAAUACCAGCUGAGCUAGGGAUGGGUAAUUUUGUUGCAGUAAAAACAUUCGUAGUCACUGUUGAAGUAUAUUCGAUCUCUUUCGAGUUCGAUGUUAACAUUCAAUUUUAACAAUCCGCGAUUAAAUUAGAACGAUCAAUUUACAAGAUGAAUACUAAAGCGUGGCAAAUCUGAAGAUACCUUUAUUCUAAACGCAAAUUUGGAAAAAGGAAUAUAUGGGUAAAAAUAAAUGAGGACGGUGGUACUUAUCGGCUAGAGGUGAAAUUCAUAGAUUUUGAUAAUGACCAA
This 806-nucleotide ribosomal RNA is filed under the name uncultured organism. Its description in RNAcentral is "bacterial SSU rRNA". It matches the Rfam family "Eukaryotic small subunit ribosomal RNA", at positions 1 to 939 of the family's 1831-position model. The record is from RNAcentral.